AAAAAGAUAAACCAUGAGUUUUCGUGCACAACGUUUGACCGUCCGUCUUAUUUAAAAAAAUAUGAAAAAAAUUAAAAAGACAAGUCACGCAUAAAGUAUUAAUCAUGUUUUAUCAUCUAACAACAAUGAAAAUACUAAUUAUAAAAAAAAUCAUAUAAGACGGAUAGUUAAACGUUGGACACGGAAAUCCAUGAUUUAUCUUUUC
Molecule: microRNA precursor, 205 nt
Filed under: Oryza nivara
Lineage: Eukaryota; Viridiplantae; Streptophyta; Magnoliopsida; Poales; Poaceae
Description: MIR812 microRNA precursor family
Rfam family: MIR812 microRNA precursor family
Source: Rfam by way of RNAcentral